AGUUUGAUCCUGGCUCAGAAUCAACGCUGGCGGCGUGCCUCAGACAUGCAGGUCGAACGGUUAAGACUCCCUUCGGGGAGUGUAUAAAGUGGCGCACGGGUGAGUAACACGUGGGUAAUCUACCUCCGGGUGGGGGAUAACCUGCCGAAAGGUGGGCUAAUACCGCAUAAUGCAGCGGCACCGAAUGGUGACAGUUGUUAAAGGAGCAAUCCGCCUGGAGAGGAGCCUGCGGCCGAUUAGCUAGUUGGUAGGGUAAUGGCCUACCAAGGCGACGAUCGGUAGCCGGCCUGAGAGGGCGGUCGGCCACACUGGCACUGAAACACGGGCCAGACUCCUACGGGAGGCAGCAGUCGGGAAUUUUGGGCAAUGGGCGAAAGCCUGACCCAGCAACGCCGCGUGAGGGAUGAAGUCCUUCGGGAUGUAAACCUCGUAAGCAUGGGAAGAAUAAAUGACGGUACCAUGCGUAAGCCCCGGCUAACUACGUGCCAGCAGCCGCGGUAAUACGUAGGGGGCAAGCGUUGUUCGGAUUUACUGGGCGUAAAGCGCGUGUAGGCGGUGCGUUAAGUCAGCCGUGAAAGCCCUAAGCUUAACUUAGGAAAGCCGGUUGAUACUGACGCACUAGAGUGUAGAAGAGGCAACUGGAAUUCUCGGUGUAGCGGUGAAAUGCGUAGAUAUCGAGAGGAACACCGGUGGCGAAGGCGAGUUGCUGGUCUAACACUGACGCUGAGACGCGAAAGCUAGGGGAGCAAACAGGAUUAGAUACCCUGGUAGUCCUAGCCCUAAACGAUGUAUGCUUGGUGUUCGGAGUUUUAUCCUCCGAGUGCCGCAGCUAACGCGUUAAGCAUACCGCCUGGGGAGUACGGUCGCAAGACUGAAACUCAAAGGAAUUGACGGGGACCCGCACAAGCGGUGGAGCAUGUGGUUUAAUUCGACGCACGCGAGA
RNAcentral lists this ribosomal RNA (943 nucleotides) under uncultured bacterium. Its description in RNAcentral is "bacterial SSU rRNA". It matches the Rfam family "Bacterial small subunit ribosomal RNA", at positions 10 to 966 of the family's 1533-position model. The record is from RNAcentral.